AUUGAACGCUGGCGGCAUGCCUUACACAUGCAAGUCGAACGGCAGCGGGGGAGAAGCUUGCUUUUCCUGCCGGCGAGUGGCGAACGGGUGAGUAAUACAUCGGAACGUGCCCUGUAGUGGGGGAUAACUAGUCGAAAGGUUAGCUAAUACCGCAUACGACCUGAGGGUGAAAGUGGGGGACCGCAAGGCCUCAUGCUAUAGGAGCAGCCGAUGUCUGAUUAGCUAGUUGGUGGGGUAAAGGCCUACCAAGGCGACGAUCAGUAGCUGGUCUGAGAGGACGAUCAGCCAGACUGGGACUGAGACACGGCCCAGACUCCGACGGGAGGCAGCAGGGGGGAAUUUUGGACAAUGGGCGAAAGCCUCAUCCAGCAAUGCCGGGUGUGGGAAGAAGGCCUUCGGUUUGUAAAGCACUUUUGUCCGGAAAGAAAUGGCUCUGGUUAAUACCUGGGGUCGAUGACGGUACCGGAAGAAUAAGGACCGGCUAACUACGUGCCAGCAGCCGCCGUAA
RNAcentral lists this ribosomal RNA (508 nucleotides) under uncultured bacterium. RNAcentral's name for it is "partial 16S ribosomal RNA". It matches the Rfam family "Bacterial small subunit ribosomal RNA", at positions 30 to 523 of the family's 1533-position model. The record is from RNAcentral.